Molecule: ribosomal RNA, 428 nt
Filed under: uncultured prokaryote
Description: bacterial SSU rRNA
Rfam family: Bacterial small subunit ribosomal RNA
Source: RNAcentral
UGGGGAAUAUUGCGCAAUGGGCGAAAGCCUGACGCAGCGACGCCUCGUGAGGGAUGAAGGUCUUCGGAUCGUAAACCUCUGUCAAGAGGGAAGAAACCCUUAGGUUCGAAUAGGGCCUUUGGCUGACGGUACCUCAAAAGGAAGCACCGGCUAACUCCGUGCCAGCAGCCGCGGUAAUACGGAGGGUGCAAGCGUUAAUCGGAAUCACUGGGCGUAAAGCGCACGUAGGCGGUGCGGUCAGUCAGACGUGAAAGCCCACGGCUUAACCGUGGAACUGCGUUUGAUACUGCCGGACUUGAGUGUCGGAGAGGGUGGCGGAAUUCCGGGUGUAGGAGUGAAAUCCGUAGAUAUCCGGAGGAACACCAGUGGCGAAGGCGGCCACCUGGACGACAACUGACGCUGAGGUGCGAAAGCGUGGGGAGCAAACA